Molecule: transfer RNA, 74 nt
Filed under: Patescibacteria group bacterium
Lineage: Bacteria
Description: tRNA-Gly
Rfam family: tRNA
About the family: Transfer RNA (tRNA) molecules are approximately 80 nucleotides in length. Their secondary structure includes four short double-helical elements and three loops (D, anti-codon, and T loops). Further hydrogen bonds mediate the characteristic L-shaped molecular structure. tRNAs have two regions of fundamental functional importance: the anti-codon, which is responsible for specific mRNA codon recognition, and the 3' end, to which the tRNAs corresponding amino acid is attached (by aminoacyl-tRNA synthetases). tRNAs cope with the degeneracy of the genetic code in two manners: having more than one tRNA (with a specific anti-codon) for a particular amino acid; and 'wobble' base-pairing, i.e. permitting non-standard base-pairing at the 3rd anti-codon position.
Source: RNAcentral
GCGGGUAUGGUUUAGUGGCAGAAUGUCUGCUUCCCAAGCAGAAGACCCGGGUUCGAUUCCCGGUAUCCGCACAA